Molecule: ribosomal RNA, 253 nt
Filed under: uncultured bacterium
Lineage: Bacteria
Description: partial 16S ribosomal RNA
Rfam family: Bacterial small subunit ribosomal RNA
Source: RNAcentral
UACGGAGGGUGCAAGCGUUGUUCGGAAUUAUUGGGCGUAAAGGGCGUGUAGGUGGCUAUGCAAGUCUGGUGUGAAAGCCCACGGCUCAACCGUGGAACUGCAUUGGAAACUGCAUAGCUCGAGUGUUGGAGGGGGUCGCGGAAUUCCCGGUGUAGAGGUGAAAUUCGUAGAUAUCGGGAGGAACACCAGUGGCGAAGGCGGCGACCUGGCCAAUUACUGACACUGAGACGCGAAAGCGUGGGGAGCAAACAGG